GAACNCGGNCCAGGGAGUUCNAAAUGGCGCGCGAGUCAUUGGGUUUAGUAAUCCAAAGGCGAAGUGAAAUGCGAGUGUAUUGUUAAUUGUGUUUGUAUGCACGAUGAAAUGAUAAGCUACUGAUGAUAUCAGUCAUUUGUAGACUACAAGCGCGUCGUUUGAGACCCGAAAGAUGGUGAUCUAUGCCUAGUCAAGAUGAAGCCAGAGGAAACUCUGGUGGAUGUCUGAAGUUUUUCUGACGUGCAAAUCGAUAAUCUGAUCUGGGUAUAGGGGCGAAAGACUAAUCGAACCAUCUAGUAGCUGGUUCCUUCCGAAGUUUCCCUCAGGAUAGCAAGCGUACAAUGGUAGUUUCAUCCAGUAAAGCGAAUGAUUAGAGGUCUUGGGGCAUAUGUAGCCUCAACCUAUUCUCAAACUUUUAAUGGGUGUGAGUUCUCUUUCUUAUCUGAAGAGCUACUAAUAAAUAAGUAUGCUUAGUGGGCCAUUUUUGGUAAGCAGAACUGGCGCUGUGGGUUGAACCAAAUGUUGAGUUAAAGUGCCUAAAGCUGAAAUGCGUAUGAGAUCUAUAAAGGGUGUUAGUUGCUGAAGACAGCAGGACGGUGGGCAUGGAANUCNGA
This 614-nucleotide ribosomal RNA is filed under the name Phorytocarpais fimetorum. RNAcentral describes it as "eukaryotic LSU rRNA". It matches the Rfam family "Eukaryotic large subunit ribosomal RNA", at positions 657 to 1265 of the family's 3401-position model. Lineage: Eukaryota; Metazoa; Arthropoda; Arachnida; Mesostigmata; Parasitidae. The record is from RNAcentral.